This 495-nucleotide ribosomal RNA is filed under the name uncultured bacterium. RNAcentral describes it as "partial 16S ribosomal RNA". It matches the Rfam family "Bacterial small subunit ribosomal RNA", at positions 28 to 507 of the family's 1533-position model. The record is from RNAcentral.
GACGAACGCUGGCGGCGUGCCUAAUACAUGCAAGUAGAACGCUGAAGGAGGAGCUUGCUUCUUUGGAUGAGUUGCGAACGGGUGAGUAACGCGUAGGUAACCUGCCUGGUAGCGGGGGAUAACUAUUGGAAACGAUAGCUAAUACCGCAUAAGAGUAGAUGUUGCAUGACAUUUGCUUAAAAGGUGCAAUUGCAGUAUUACCAGAUGGAGCUGCGUUGGAUUAGUUUGUUGGUGGGGUAACGGCUCACCAAGGCGGAGACACGUAGCCGACCUGAGAGGGGGAGCGGCCACACUGGGACUGAGACACGGCCCAGAGUCCUACAGGAGGCAGCGGUAGAGAAACUUCGGCGAUGGGCGGGAAACUGAGCGAGAAACGCGGCGUGAGUGAAAAAGAGGUUCGGGUCGUGAAGCACUGUUUUAAGAGAAGAAAGAGAGUGAGAGUGUAAAGAUGACACUGUGACGGUAACUUACCAAGAAGGGACGGCUAACUACGUG